Molecule: small nuclear RNA, 109 nt
Filed under: Rozella allomycis CSF55
Lineage: Eukaryota; Fungi; Rozellomycota
Description: U5 spliceosomal RNA
Rfam family: U5 spliceosomal RNA
About the family: U5 RNA is a component of both types of known spliceosome. The precise function of this molecule is unknown, though it is known that the 5' loop is required for splice site selection and p220 binding, and that both the 3' stem-loop and the Sm site are important for Sm protein binding and cap methylation.
Source: Rfam by way of RNAcentral
UGCGGCUGAUAUUGCACAUAACGUAUUAAUCUUUCGCCUUUUACUAAAGAUUACCGUGUGUAGUGUUACUAAGGCCGCUUAGUAAAAUUUGUGGAGCCCUUUAAGGGAU